UGCCUUGACACACCGGAUUGUCCUCGAGG
RNAcentral lists this non-coding RNA (29 nucleotides) under Rattus norvegicus (Norway rat). Lineage: Eukaryota; Metazoa; Chordata; Mammalia; Rodentia; Muridae. The record is from RNAcentral.